RNAcentral lists this non-coding RNA (30 nucleotides) under Mus musculus (house mouse). The record is from RNAcentral. Lineage: Eukaryota; Metazoa; Chordata; Mammalia; Rodentia; Muridae.
UGAAAUAAUUGCUCGAAGGAUAAGGCACCU